RNAcentral lists this long non-coding RNA (500 nucleotides) under Rattus norvegicus (Norway rat). Its description in RNAcentral is "long non-coding RNA NONRATT003311". Lineage: Eukaryota; Metazoa; Chordata; Mammalia; Rodentia; Muridae. The record is from RNAcentral.
GAUCAGCGCCUGGGACUUUGUGGAGAAAGGCCACAGAAACAGACGAACCAUGAAGAAAUGGGCUGCAGCACUCAUACCACAGGCUGACAGGGCAACACCCUGGGGGCAUUCCUGACACCCUACACUUGCUGUUUCCACUGUACCCUAGCCUGAAGUAUCCUCCGGGGAUAGGAUAUCUUCAGGGCUACAAAGGUACCUGGUACAGAUGCUUGCUUGGAGUUGGAGCUGGCACUGAGCAUCACUGGGCAGCCAGUAUGAGGACCAUGAAGGGUGGAGAUGGCAGAGGACGGAGAGGAGUCCUAAGAGCAAGGACCAACACUUCGGGAAGGUCCAAAGAGCAUGGAGUGGAUGCUCCAGAGAAGACAGUAAGCCUGGAUCCACAGAGGGGCAGGCACUCUUAGCUACUCUCAUGUCACCGGGUGCUGUAGUUAAACCUGGUUCUUCCUCCAAGCCCCAUGCUCCCAGCAAUAAAACUCAGAUGCAAAAUAUCUUGGGCAUAU